GAGCUGCACUGUGGAACCCCCCCCGCCGCCCGGGGCCCUCAGGGCCAGCUGGCACCGGGGCCACCUGGCGACGGGGCUGGGCCAGGCCCGGCUGGAGAACGGCUCCACCAGCGUCCUGAGCAUCCGGGCCCUGCGGGGCAACGACUCGGGCGUCUAUCGCUGCCACCUCGUCCUGCUGCUCUCGGGGCAGCCCUGUCUGCUGCUGGGGUCUGGGACCCACCUCGUCGUCACAGGUCCCCCUGCUCAGAACACGACCCGGCCCGGUCUGCAGGGGAACACAACCCAGUCUGAGCCCGGACAUCGAACGCUGUCCCCACAUCACUGGACCAUCCGGCUGCUGGUGCUGGGAGCAGGAAUCAUUCUCACGGCUGCCGUUGUGCUUUGUCUGCACAGGAGGCGGGGAAGGGAGAACCGGGAAUGAAACCCAUGGCACUCGGCUCCUUUAGGAACUCGAAUAAUUUCUGCAGGGCUGAAAGGAGCCUCGUUCAGAGCUGAAAUGGCACUUUCAACCCUGGAUCCCUCCUGCCCUGUCACCUUCUACUCCUGGGGGGAAUUCUGUGCCACUGCGCGCAUAAUUCAUGUGCUGUGCAUAAUUUCCCGACCCCGCAGAAAAUAACUUCUGCAGGAAAGUUGCUGCAGUUCCACCUUUUGCCCACUAGGGGCCCCUGUGGCUCUAGAACAGAGCAGGGCCACGUGGGGGAAGGGAGGUGGCUGAGUUGGGGCACAGAGACACGUGGGGACAGUGCGAAGGGGCUGCAGGGAUACAGACAAUGUGGCAUUAGCUCUGCCUAGCCUGCUUGAUGGCCCAUUAACGCCCAUCAGCUACAACUGACCCAUUGAGAGAAGCAGAUACACCUGGUGACUCAGCAAGGCAGGGACAGGCCUAUGGACAGAGCUCUGAGGUUUUCCAGGCCAUGUGCUGGAUCGGUGUCUUUGGGACAAAGAAAGCAGAGACCACAUGGCAAGAGACUAUAAAAGGCUGAUGCCUCAUCUCCAUCUUGUCUUCAAUCCUGCUUCAUACCUCUGGAGGGAUUUUGCUACAAACUGAAGCUCUGAACAAAGGACUGAGGACCCAUCCCAGCUGGGGAUGUUCCAGAGACUUGAUUUGAACCUGCAGUUUAUUCUAUCGCUGCUGCAAGCCUGAACCAAGAACUUUGCCAUUACUGUGUGUAAUUGAUUCCAUUUAACCAAUUCUAACUCUCAUCUCUAUCUUUUUCCUUUUAUGAAUAAACCUUUAGAUUUUAGAUUCUAAAGG
This 1255-nucleotide long non-coding RNA is filed under the name Chrysemys picta bellii (western painted turtle). RNAcentral's name for it is "lncRNA (ENSCPBG00000012383.1)". Lineage: Eukaryota; Metazoa; Chordata; Testudines; Emydidae. The record is from RNAcentral.